CCUACGGGAGGCUGCAGUGGGGAAUAUUGGACAAUGGGCGAAAGCCUGAUCCAGCCAUGCCGCGUGUGUGAAGAAGGCCUUCGGGUUGUAAAGCACUUUCAGUGGGGAAGAAAGCCUUGGGGCUAAUACCCUCGAGGAAGGACAUCACCCACAGAAGAAGCACCGGCUAACUCCGUGCCAGCAGCCGCGGUAAUACGGAGGGUGCGAGCGUUAAUCGGAAUUACUGGGCGUAAAGCGCGCGUAGGCGGUCUGAUAAGCCGGUUGUGAAAGCCCCGGGCUCAACCUGGGAACGGCAUCCGGAACUGUCAGGCUAGAGUGCAGGAGAGGAAGGUAGAAUUCCCGGUGUAGCGGUGAAAUGCGUAGAGAUCGGGAGGAAUACCAGUGGCGAAGGCGGCCUUCUGGACUGACACUGACGCUGAGGUGCGAAAGCGUGGGUAGCAAACAGGAUCAGAUACCCGUGUAGUC
Molecule: ribosomal RNA, 465 nt
Filed under: Vreelandella stevensii
Lineage: Bacteria; Pseudomonadati; Pseudomonadota; Gammaproteobacteria; Oceanospirillales; Halomonadaceae
Description: partial 16S ribosomal RNA
Rfam family: Bacterial small subunit ribosomal RNA
Source: RNAcentral